Molecule: ribosomal RNA, 433 nt
Filed under: uncultured bacterium
Lineage: Bacteria
Description: partial 16S ribosomal RNA
Rfam family: Bacterial small subunit ribosomal RNA
Source: RNAcentral
AACGAACGCUGGCGGCAUGCCUAACACAUGCAAGUCGAACGAGACAUUCGGGCCUAGUGCCGCACGGGUCCGUAACGCGUGGGAACAUGCCUAUAGGUUCGGCAUAACUUCCGGAAUGAGGUGCUAAUACCGGCUCUUGUCUCCGGUCCAUAGGUUUAUCGCCUUUGGAUGGGCUUGCGUUGGAUUAGCUAGUUGGUAGCGUAAAACGCUACCACUGCGACGAUGCAUAAAUGGUUUGAGAGGAUGAUCAGCCACACUGGGACUGAGACACGGCCCAGACUCCUACGGGAGGCAGCAGUGGGGAAUAUUGGACAAUGGGCGAAAGCCUGAACCAGCAAUGCCGCGUAAGUGAUGAAGGCCGUAGGGUUGUAAAGCUCUUUUACCCGGGAUGAUAAUGACAGUACCGGGAGAAUAAGCUCCGGCUAACUCCGUG